This is a long non-coding RNA of Lathyrus oleraceus (garden pea), 1384 nucleotides long. RefSeq lists it as uncharacterized. The record is from RefSeq and is a predicted model, not a curated record. The transcript has 2 exons. NCBI's taxonomy places the organism in Eukaryota, Viridiplantae, Streptophyta, Magnoliopsida, Fabales, Fabaceae.
CCUACAAACCAUAACUAAAUUUAAUCAGAACAUAACUGAAUGCCCCAACUACUUUGCCUUGGGAUCCACACAUAACUACAAAAUAGAAAACUGAAUAACAUAAUUGACACAAAAUUCCACAACAAAUCCCUAAUUGAAUUUUCUAAUUGUAUCAAUCUCUCUAACCACCUAUAAAUAGCAAAGUCCAAUCAUUGGAAUCCUCCCCAUUCAUUUUUGCAUCCAAAAUUGAUUCCAAUCUUCAAUCAUUACAGAAAAUAUCUACAAUCACUUUUCAUCACUCACCCCCAAAAAACCACCUUCAUCAUUCUGAACCAAAACUUCAUUAAUCCGCACAUUCAAACUUCAUCACCCUAACCUAAACAACUUCAUCUCCAUCAUCAACAUAUCAAUCAACAUCAGAAUCUCAUCAUCAACAACACCUUACAUCACUCAAUUCUCAUGUAACAUCGCAUUUAGAAAAACCAAAUAAAAAAAUCAAGAAGAGACGAAGAGAGUGGGAGAAUUAAGUUAAAGCAUGGAAGAAUCAGAAUCAUUACCUGGAAAUAAGAGUUCACCUGCGUUCAUCAUCACCUUCGAAAUCUCUGGUACGGAUCGGCAUUGGGUGAAAUUUAUGGCAUAUUUGAGACGAGGAGGUUGGGACGAGUCUAGUGGUGGUUGAAAUUUUCGGUUCCGGUGGCCACCGCAGCCGGAAGCGAAUUCCUAUCCCUGCUCUAGUGUCUGAUGUGUAUUACUGCUUACACACUAGGCACAAAAAGAAGAAAUAUCUGAUUUUAAGUUGUGUUUCACUAUUUUACACAUGGAUUCUACGCCACAUGCCUCAAAAGGGGCCAUGGGUAGACUUUGUGAAAGACUUGAGGUGGUCUCAAAAGUUUUCUUCCCUCACUGUUGAUUCCAUGGUUUUCUUCUUACCCGAUUUAGGAACAGAGAACCCAAAUCUGUUGCAGAAGAUCAAACAAGCUUGGACUCUCAUUCAUCGCAAAGACAAUUUUUCCAUAACUAAGUGAUAUUAUAUGUGUCAAUCUUUAAAUUUUCUCUAGUAAUUUACUUGUGUUUUGUGUGUAUUAACCACUAUAUACAAAUUAUUUGCAACCACAUAAACAACCAAACGGAUAUGCACAAUAUAUGUUGGAUAUUGUCUCUGGUGGAGGACUUGAUGGAUUAAGAUGAUCCUUUUAUUCAUGUGCAUGUAAUUUAUUUAUGUUAGUUGUUAGUUAUGGUUGUUGUUGUUAGCUUGUAAAAUGUUUACAUUGUUGUUGUGAAGAUUGAAAGUUAAGUGUUGUUGUUGUACUAACUUAAUUUAAAUUUUGUUCAUAUUAUAUGUGUAUAAUGAUGUGACAUUAUUAACACAAGAAAAUAUAUAUGACAUAUGUUUACAUUGGACUGA